This 1353-nucleotide ribosomal RNA is filed under the name metagenome. RNAcentral's name for it is "bacterial LSU rRNA". It matches the Rfam family "Bacterial large subunit ribosomal RNA", at positions 1563 to 2925 of the family's 2925-position model. The record is from RNAcentral.
GGUUUGGGAGGGGUUUACGAACUCCGCAUGGUGAAGGAAAGUGCCAAGAAAAGCUGGUAAUGUGAUGAAAGCAUCAUACCCGUACCCGAAACCGACACAGGUAGGGAGGUUGAGAAUACCAAGGGGCGCGAGAUAACUCUCUCUAAGGAACUCGGCAAAAUGGCCCCGUAACUUCGGAAGAAGGGGUGCCCACGAGAGUGGGUCGCAGUGAAGAGAUCCAGGCGACUGUUUACCAAAAACACAGGUCUCCGCUAACUCGAAAGAGGACGUAUGGGGGCUGACGCCUGCCCAGUGCCGGAAGGUUAAGGAAGUUGGUCAGGGGUUCGCCCUGAAGCUGACGACCGAAGCCCCGGUGAACGGCGGCCGUAACUAUAACGGUCCUAAGGUAGCGAAAUUCCUUGUCGGGUAAGUUCCGACCCGCACGGAAGGCGUAACGAUCUGGAUGGUGUCUCAGAGAGAGACUCGGCGAAAUAGGAAUGUCUGUGAAGAUACGGACUGCCUGCACCUGGACAGAAAGACCCUAUGAAGCUUUACUGUAGCCUGGAAUUGUGUUCGGGCUUGGCUUGCGCAGGAUAGGUGGGAAGCACAGAAGUACCCCUUGUGGGGGGUAUGGAGCUAACGGUGAGAUACCACUCUGGCGAAGCUAGAAUUCUAACCUAGCACCCUCAGCGGGUGUAGGAACAGUUUCAGGUGGGCAGUUUGACUGGGGCGGUCGCCUCCUAAAAGGUAACGGAGGCGCGCAAAGGUUCUCUCAGCACGCUUGGAAACCGUGCGGCGAGUGUAAAGGCAUAAAGAGAGCUUGACUGCAAGAGUGACAACUCAAGCAGGGACGAAAGUCGGCCUUAGUGAUCCGACGGCACAGAAUGGAAUGGCCGUCGCUCAACGGAUAAAAGUUACUCUAGGGAUAACAGGCUGAUCUCCCCCAAGAGUCCACAUCGACGGGGAGGUUUGGCACCUCGAUGUCGGCUCAUCGCAACCUGGGGCGGAAGUACGUCCCAAGGGUUGGGCUGUUCGCCCAUUAAAGCGGUACGUGAGCUGGGUUCAGAAUGUCGUGAGACAGUUCGGUCCAUAUCCGGUGCAGGCGUAAGAGCAUUGAGAGGAGCCUUCCUUAGUACGAGAGGACCGGGAAGGACGCACCGCUGGUGUACCAGUUAUUCCACCAGGAGUAGACGCUGGGUAGCUAAGUGCGGAGCGGAUAACCGCUGAAAGCAUCUAAGUGGGAAGCCCACCUCAAGAUGAGUGCUCUCACUACUUAAGUAGGUAAGGUCACGGGCAGAACACCCGUUUAUAGGCUCUAAGUGGAAGUACAGCAAUGUAUGUAGCUGAGGAGUCCUAACAGACCGAGGGCUUGAC